GUGGGGAAUAUUGCACAAUGGGGGAAACCCUGAUGCAGCGACGCCGCGUGAAGGAAGACGUAUUUCGGUAUGUAAACUUCUAUCAGCAAGGAAGAUGAUGACGGUACUUGACUAAGAAGCCCCGGCUAACUACGUGCCAGCAGCCGCGGUAAUACGUAGGGGGCAAGCGUUAUCCGGAUUUACUGGGUGUAAAGGGAGCGUAGGCGGCCAUGCAAGUCAGAAGUGAAAGCCCGGGGCUCAACCCCGGGACUGCUUUUGAAACUGUAGGGCUAGAUUGCCGGAGAGGUGAGCGGAAUUCCUAGUGUAGCGGUGAAAUGCGUAGAUAUUAGGAGGAACACCAGUGGCGAAGGCGGCUCACUGGACGGUAAAUGACGCUGAGGCUCGAAAGCGUGGGGAGCAAACAGG
RNAcentral lists this ribosomal RNA (405 nucleotides) under uncultured bacterium. Its description in RNAcentral is "bacterial SSU rRNA". It matches the Rfam family "Bacterial small subunit ribosomal RNA", at positions 354 to 776 of the family's 1533-position model. The record is from RNAcentral.